This is a long non-coding RNA of Zophobas morio, 412 nucleotides long. RefSeq lists it as uncharacterized. The record is from RefSeq and is a predicted model, not a curated record. The transcript is spliced from 3 exons. Lineage: Eukaryota; Metazoa; Arthropoda; Insecta; Coleoptera; Tenebrionidae.
GGGCCACUUCUUUUUUGCAAAACUGAAAUCUUUUCAAGGCUUGGUAGUCUUACUGAUCUCGUGGGGCUUCACCUUGAACACUUUCCGCGCUUCAGCAAUCUUGAUCCUCUAGCUUGCCUUAAGCCCCUUCAGUUGCAAUUUAUUCCGACGGAUAUUGAACUUCGACAGCGAGACACUGCCGUACCUUAUUCUGAGUUACACCUGUAAACUUCGAGGCAUCGAGCCACUAAAGCAUGCAGCAGAGGACAAGUUAAACUAAAGGAGUUGACUCUUGAAGCCAAUUUCAAUAUAAGAAACCUCAAAAGCUUAACUACUCUUAACCUUGAGCUCACCGAGUUGAAUUGCUGGUAUUGUUCUCGUCUAAAGGAGGUUUUGGUUCUCCUUAACUUCGUUAUUUUUUGCAUGCGCAGAA